GGCAGGUUGCCCGAGCGGCCAAAGGGAGCUGACUGUAAAUCAGCCGGCAUUGCCUACAGUGGUUCGAAUCCACUACCUGCCA
This 82-nucleotide transfer RNA is filed under the name Nocardioides sp. J9. RNAcentral's name for it is "tRNA-Tyr". It matches the Rfam family "tRNA". From Rfam's summary of the family: Transfer RNA (tRNA) molecules are approximately 80 nucleotides in length. Their secondary structure includes four short double-helical elements and three loops (D, anti-codon, and T loops). RNAcentral also lists the same sequence under 10 other names. Lineage: Bacteria; Bacillati; Actinomycetota; Actinomycetes; Propionibacteriales; Nocardioidaceae. The record is from RNAcentral.